AAAAAGUUUUAUUUUAGCUUAAAAUAUCAAUGUAUAAUUUAUUUUAUAUGUAAGUUUUAGCGGGAAUUUUAAAAAAUUUUAAAAAUUUUUUAUUUUAUAAAUUUAUUCGCAGUUUAAAAUAUUUAAUAUUUAAGAAAUUAAGAUUAAAAAAUUUAUUUUAAUAUUAACAAAAUUUGUGCCAGCAGUUGCGGUUAUACAGAUAAUAUAAUUGAUAUAUAUUAAUUAAUAAUUAAUUGAUUUAUUUAUAAUUAAAAAUUAAUUUUAUUAAGUGAAAUUUUAAAUUUAUUUAAAAUUAUAAAAAAUAAAUUGAAGUUAUUAAAUUUUUAAAUAAACUAGGAUUAGAUACCCUAUUAUUUUAAAUGUAAAUUUAAAUAUAUUAAAUUAGUAUUAGCUAUGUUCUUAAAAAUUAAAAAAUUUGGCGGUAUUUUAGUCUUUUCAGAGGAACCUGUUCUGUAAUCGAUAAUCCACGAUUAGUUUUACUUUUAUUAAUAAAUUUAUAUAUCGUCGUAGUUUGAAUAUUUUAGGAGAAUUUUAAAUAUUCAAUAUAUUAAAUUAAAUAUUAAAUCAGAUCAAGGUAUAGUUUAUAUAAAAGAAGAAAUGGGUUACAAUAAAUUUAUUUAUAUGGAUUUAAUAUUUAAAUAUAUUAAUGAAAUUGGAUUUGAAAGUAAUAUAAUUUAUUUAAAUUAUAUGAUUUAAGCUCUAAAAUAUGCACAUAUCGCCCGUCGCUCUCAUAUAAAGUGAGAUAAGUCGUAACAAAGUAGAUGUACUGGAAAGUGUAUCUAGAAUGAU
RNAcentral lists this non-coding RNA (789 nucleotides) under Ochthebius capicola. Lineage: Eukaryota; Metazoa; Arthropoda; Insecta; Coleoptera; Hydraenidae. The record is from RNAcentral.